UACGUAGGGGGCUAGCGUUGUCCGGAUUUAUUGGGCGUAAAGAGCGUGUAGGCGGCCAUGUAGGUCCGGUGUGAAAACUCGAGGCUUAACCUCGAGAUGUCAUCGGAAACCAUUUGGCUAGAGUCCGGAAGAGGAGAGUGGAAUUCCUGGUGUAGCGGUGAAAUGCGCAGAUAUCAGGAAGAACACCAGUGGCGAAGGCGGCUCACUGGCCCGAUACUGACGCUGAGGCACGAAAGCGUGGGGAGCAAACAGG
Molecule: ribosomal RNA, 253 nt
Filed under: uncultured bacterium
Lineage: Bacteria
Description: partial 16S ribosomal RNA
Rfam family: Bacterial small subunit ribosomal RNA
Source: RNAcentral